AGAGUUUGAUCCUGGCUCAGGAUGAACGCUAGCUACAGGCUUAACACAUGCAAGUCGAGGGGCAGCGGGAUUGAAGCUUGCUUCAAUUGCCGGCGACCGGCGCACGGGUGAGUAACGCGUAUCCAACCUUCCGUACACUCAGGGAUAGCCUUUCGAAAGAAAGAUUAAUACCUGAUGGUAUGAUGAGAUUGCAUGAUAGCAUCAUUAAAGAUUUAUCGGUGUACGAUGGGGAUGCGUUCCAUUAGGUAGUAGGCGGGGUAACGGCCCACCUAGCCGACGAUGGAUAGGGGUUCUGAGAGGAAGGUCCCCCACAUUGGAACUGAGACACGGUCCAAACUCCUACGGGAGGCAGCAGUGAGGAAUAUUGGUCAAUGGACGAGAGUCUGAACCAGCCAAGUAGCGUGAAGGAUGAAGGUCCUACGGAUUGUAAACUUCUUUUAUAAGGGAAUAAACCCUCCCACGUGUGGGAGCUUGUAUGUACCUUAUGAAUAAGCAUCGGCUAACUCCGUGCCAGCAGCCGCGGUAAUACGGAGGAUGCGAGCGUUAUCCGGAUUUAUUGGGUUUAAAGGGAGCGCAGACGGGUCGUUAAGUCAGCUGUGAAAGUUUGGGGCUCAACCUUAAAAUUGCAGUUGAUACUGGCGUCCUUGAGUGCGGUUGAGGUGUGCGGAAUUCGUGGUGUAGCGGUGAAAUGCUUAGAUAUCACGAAGAACUCCGAUUGCGAAGGCAGCACACUAAUCCGUAACUGACGUUCAUGCUCGAAAGUGUGGGUAUCAAACAGGAUUAGAUACCCUGGUAGUCCACACGGUAAACGAUGGAUCACUCGCUGUUGGCGCAUAUACUGUCAGCGGCUUAGCGAAAGCGUU
RNAcentral lists this ribosomal RNA (863 nucleotides) under uncultured bacterium. RNAcentral describes it as "bacterial SSU rRNA". It matches the Rfam family "Bacterial small subunit ribosomal RNA", at positions 8 to 861 of the family's 1533-position model. The record is from RNAcentral.